RNAcentral lists this ribosomal RNA (255 nucleotides) under uncultured bacterium. RNAcentral describes it as "partial 16S ribosomal RNA". It matches the Rfam family "Bacterial small subunit ribosomal RNA", at positions 524 to 777 of the family's 1533-position model. The record is from RNAcentral.
UACAGAGGGUGCAAGCGUUAAUCGGAAUUACUGGGCGUAAAGCGUGUGUAGGCGGUCCACUAAGUCGGGUGUGAAAGCCCUGGGCUCAACCCAGGAAGUGCACUCGAAACUGGCGGGCUAGAGUAUCGGAGAGGUUGGUGGAAGUUCUCGGUGUAGAGGUGAAAUUCGUAGAUAUCGAGAGGAACACCGGUGGCGAAGGCGGCCAACUGGACGAAUACUGACGCUGAGACACGAAAGCGUGGGGAGCAAACAGGA